This 795-nucleotide long non-coding RNA is filed under the name Homo sapiens (human). Its description in RNAcentral is "HSALNT0241309". Lineage: Eukaryota; Metazoa; Chordata; Mammalia; Primates; Hominidae. The record is from RNAcentral.
CGGGGCAGCAGGCGCGGAGGGAUCCUUGGCCUUUGAGGAAGGCGACGAGAAGCUCGGCGGCCAUCGCCGCCAUUUUGGGCUGGGAGGAGGCAGCGGAGGGACUCGCUGCGCAAUGUUUUACAACUGGAUUACAAAAUAGGAUCAUCAUUGACUAGGGUCCUCAAUCCAAAACUGGAACCACUUACUCCUAACUGAAGCUUCAGUACACUUGAUGCCUACUGUGGUUUGAUUUUUUACCUACAUAUGACAUGUUCGCUCUACACUGAUCAAGAGAUCAUCAAGAAAGAAAACCAAGGCACUAGAAAGCAAGCACACUUAAGUAUUGAAGAUAAUUACAUCUUAAAUUUUGCCUGAACUGUAUAUUGUAGCAUACUUAAACCCAUUCAAGGAAAAAAUUGGCAAAUUGAAAAUUCUCCCAUUAAAGAUUGAUAUUUUUGCAAACUGACAAAUUUAACGAUUUCGGUACCCCUCCCCAAAAAUGCAGUCACAUAAAAUAUAUCAAUACUAUUUUGAAUUAGCUCUAGAAAUCACACUGAAACUAUGUUACAUUUACAAAUAUUAAAUUUAUUAUAACUAAAAUGAAUUUAAUUGUUCUCAGAUUUGGCCACCUUAUAGCUCCGUUUAAGGAGGGGAUUUGUUAAAAACAAAAAUGCAUUAUAACUUGGUCAAAUUACUUUCACAUUAAGGAAAAAAACUUCUAAAAAGGAAAACAAGAAAAGCAACUCUUCAGUUUCACAUAAUUAAAAGAACAGGAGAAAGCACGCAAGCUACAUAUAGCUAAAUUUACGAAACCAA